RNAcentral lists this transfer RNA (100 nucleotides) under Caldilinea sp. RNAcentral's name for it is "tRNA-Tyr". It matches the Rfam family "transfer-messenger RNA", at positions 269 to 371 of the family's 374-position model. From Rfam's summary of the family: Bacterial tmRNA, also known as 10Sa RNA or SsrA, is named for its dual tRNA and mRNA-like properties. Lineage: Bacteria; Bacillati; Chloroflexota; Caldilineae; Caldilineales; Caldilineaceae. The record is from RNAcentral.
GUUGCACGGAGUCGGUCAGACGAGAAACAAAAGUGCAACUAAGCCUGUAGAGGUCUCAGGACGAAUGUCUCGGACGCGGGUUCAACUCCCGCCAUCUCCA